This 449-nucleotide ribosomal RNA is filed under the name uncultured bacterium. RNAcentral describes it as "bacterial SSU rRNA". It matches the Rfam family "Bacterial small subunit ribosomal RNA", at positions 56 to 518 of the family's 1533-position model. The record is from RNAcentral.
UGCAAGUCGAACGAGAGAUGAGGAGCUUGCUCUUCAAAUCGAGUGGCGAACGGGUGAGUAACGCGUGAGGAACCUGCCUCAAAGAGGGGGACAACAGUUGGAAACGACUGCUAAUACCGCAUAAGCCCACGGCUCGGCAUCGAGCAGAGGGAAAAGGAGCAAUCCGCUUUGAGAUGGCCUCGCGUCCGAUUAGCUAGUUGGUGAGGUAAUGGCCCACCAAGGCGACGAUCGGUAGCCGGACUGAGAGGUUGAACGGCCACAUUGGGACUGAGACACGGCCCAGACUCCUACGGGAGGCAGCAGUGGGGAAUAUUGCACAAUGGGGGAAACCCUGAUGCAGCGACGCCGCGUGGAGGAAGAAGGUCUUCGGAUUGUAAACUCCUGUUGUUGAGGAAGAUAAUGACGGUACUCAACAAGGAAGUGACGGCUAACUACGUGCCAGCAGCCGC